This 77-nucleotide transfer RNA is filed under the name Pseudomonadota bacterium. RNAcentral's name for it is "tRNA-Pro". It matches the Rfam family "tRNA". Rfam says of the family: Transfer RNA (tRNA) molecules are approximately 80 nucleotides in length. Their secondary structure includes four short double-helical elements and three loops (D, anti-codon, and T loops). Further hydrogen bonds mediate the characteristic L-shaped molecular structure. tRNAs have two regions of fundamental functional importance: the anti-codon, which is responsible for specific mRNA codon recognition, and the 3' end, to which the tRNAs corresponding amino acid is attached (by aminoacyl-tRNA synthetases). tRNAs cope with the degeneracy of the genetic code in two manners: having more than one tRNA (with a specific anti-codon) for a particular amino acid; and 'wobble' base-pairing, i.e. permitting non-standard base-pairing at the 3rd anti-codon position. The record is from RNAcentral. Lineage: Bacteria; Pseudomonadati; Pseudomonadota. RNAcentral also lists the same sequence under 2 other names.
CGGGGCGUGGCGCAGCUUGGUAGCGCAUCUGCUUUGGGAGCAGAGGGUCGGAGGUUCGAAUCCUCUCGCCCCGACCA